UGAGUUGGUGGCUAGGGUUCCGGCGCUUUUCUGAAGUGCGGCUGGUCCGAGAGCCACCACCGGUGGGGGAGAAAUCCCGCCGGGUGCACGGCGGGACAAAAGCCCGGGAGAC
RNAcentral lists this small RNA (112 nucleotides) under Rhizobium sp. Its description in RNAcentral is "Guanidine-I sequence". It matches the Rfam family "Guanidine-I riboswitch aptamer". From Rfam's summary of the family: This family represents a conserved RNA structure found upstream of the ykkC and yxkD genes in Bacillus subtilis and related genes in other bacteria. The record is from RNAcentral. Lineage: Bacteria; Pseudomonadati; Pseudomonadota; Alphaproteobacteria; Hyphomicrobiales; Rhizobiaceae.